This 295-nucleotide ribosomal RNA is filed under the name uncultured microorganism. Its description in RNAcentral is "partial 16S ribosomal RNA". It matches the Rfam family "Bacterial small subunit ribosomal RNA", at positions 505 to 796 of the family's 1533-position model. The record is from RNAcentral.
GUGCCAGCAGCCGCGGUAAUACGAAGGGGUGCAAGCGUUACUCGGAAUUACUGGGGCGUWAAGGCGUGCGUAGGUGGUGGUUUAAGUCUGUUGUGAAAGCCCUGGGCUCAACCUGGGAAUUGCAGUGGAUACUGGGUCACUAGAGUGUGGUAGAGGGUAGCGGAAUUCCCGGUGUAGCAGUGAAAUGCGUAGAGAUCGGGAGGAACAUCCGUGGCGAAGGCGGCUACCUGGACCAACACUGACACUGAGGCACGAAAGCGUGGGGAGCAAACAKGAUUAGAUACCCUGGUAGUCC